This is a long non-coding RNA of Haliotis rubra (blacklip abalone), 683 nucleotides long. RefSeq lists it as uncharacterized. NCBI's taxonomy places the organism in Eukaryota, Metazoa, Mollusca, Gastropoda, Lepetellida, Haliotidae. The transcript has 3 exons. The record is from RefSeq and is a predicted model, not a curated record.
AUUAUUUGUUGGAAUUUUAGUCCUGCCAGGCUGCCAUAACUUUAGUGGUGAGCGGUGCAUCGUGGUCUCUGUGCAGCUCGUGCAGCUCGUGCAGAGGUGGCAGGUCACGUGACCUAGAGGCGUCAGUGCAACGCCAAGAUACAACCGUCUGUCACAAGACCACCAAAAUGUGUCCCACAUCUGUUACAGAUCUCCCUCUCUCCAUCUACACAACAGCCAUGAAGACGUCGGAGUCAGGACACGUGACUUGCAGCUGAAUAAGAUCUACCUCUCCUCAUCUACACACGGACAGCCAUCAAGACGUCGGAGUAAUGACACCUGAUAUGCAUCUGAAUCAGGUAACCGAGACACACCUCACCACCUUCAUCCACAGAUGACCACUGAACAUUUACACAGUAGGAAGAUAAAGAGGUGAUUGGGAUACCUCGUAUCAAAAUAUUACAUCAUGAUGUAUUCGUUUGGUUAUGGCAGUGGGGUGUCCUAUUGGUUGAAGCGUUCGCUCUUAACGGCAAAGAACUGGUUUCGAUUUUCCACAUGGGUUCAUGUCUGAAGCCCAUUCUUGAUUUUGCAGGAACAUUGCUAAAUCAGUCGCUUACUCUCUAUUAUUGGUGAGAUCUGUAUAAGAUUUAUAAGAUUCUCUGAACAUUGUUAUUUGUUUUGUGCGUAAAACCGAACUGGUAAUU